GGAGUGGUAGUUCAGUUGGUUAGAAUACCGGCCUGUCACGCCGGGGGUCGCGGGUUCGAGUCGUCACGCCGGGGGUCGCGGGUUCGAGUCCCGUCCACUCCG
The sequence is a transfer RNA, 102 nucleotides long. It matches the Rfam family "tRNA". From Rfam's summary of the family: Transfer RNA (tRNA) molecules are approximately 80 nucleotides in length. Their secondary structure includes four short double-helical elements and three loops (D, anti-codon, and T loops).